RNAcentral lists this non-coding RNA (21 nucleotides) under Arabidopsis thaliana (thale cress). The record is from RNAcentral. Lineage: Eukaryota; Viridiplantae; Streptophyta; Magnoliopsida; Brassicales; Brassicaceae.
CUUCUUCUCCGUGAGAUAGUC